RNAcentral lists this ribosomal RNA (402 nucleotides) under uncultured bacterium. Its description in RNAcentral is "bacterial SSU rRNA". It matches the Rfam family "Bacterial small subunit ribosomal RNA", at positions 355 to 774 of the family's 1533-position model. The record is from RNAcentral.
AAGGGAAUAUUGGUAAUGUGCGAAAGCGCGAACCAGCAACGCCGCGUGCACGAUGAAGGCCUUCGGGUCGUAAAGUGCUUUUAGAGAGGAUGAGGAAGGACAGUACUUUCUGAAUAAGCCUCGGCUAACUACGUGCCAGCAGCCGCGGUAAAACGUAGGAGGCUAGCGUUAUCCGGAUUUACUGGGCGUAAAGCGCAUGCAGGUGGUUUUGUAAGUUGGAUGUGAAAGCUCCUGGCUUAACUGGGAGAGGUCGUUCAAAACUACAAGACUUGAGAUUGGUAGAGGAAAAUGGAAUUCCGGGUGUAGUGGUGAAAUGCGUAGAUAUCCGGAGGAACACCAGUGGCGAAAGCGGUUUUCUGGACCAAUUCUGACACUCAGAUGCGAAAGCUAAGGUAGCAAACG